RNAcentral lists this ribosomal RNA (261 nucleotides) under uncultured archaeon. RNAcentral describes it as "partial 16S ribosomal RNA". It matches the Rfam family "Archaeal small subunit ribosomal RNA", at positions 748 to 1008 of the family's 1478-position model. The record is from RNAcentral.
UGGCCGUAAACGAUGUGGACUUGGUGUUGGAAUGGCUCCGAGCUGCUCCAGUGCCGAAGGGAAGCUGUUAAGUCCACCGCCUGGGAAGUACGGUCGCAAGACUGAAACUUAAAGGAAUUGGCGGGGAGACACUACAACAGGUGACGCGUGCGGUUCAAUUAGAUUCUACACCGUGAACCUCACCAGGAGCGACAGCAGAAUGAAGGUCAGUCUAAAGGGCUUACCUGACACGCUGAGAGGAGGUGCAUGGCGUCAGUGACU